GACAGAGGGUGCAAACGUUGUUCGGAAUUACUGGGCGUAAAGCGAGUGUAGGUGGUUGUCGUAGUCAGGCGUGAAAGCCUUGAGCUCAACUCAAGAAAUGCGCUUGAUACUGGGCAGCUAGAGGACCGGAGAGGAUAGUGGAAUUCCCAGUGUAGUGGUGAAAUACGUAGAGAUUGGGAAGAACACCAGUGGCGAAGGCGGCUAUCUGGACGGUUUCUGACACUAAGACUCGAAAGCGUGGGGAGCAAACAGG
RNAcentral lists this ribosomal RNA (253 nucleotides) under uncultured bacterium. RNAcentral describes it as "partial 16S ribosomal RNA". It matches the Rfam family "Bacterial small subunit ribosomal RNA", at positions 524 to 776 of the family's 1533-position model. The record is from RNAcentral.